This 374-nucleotide unclassified non-coding RNA is filed under the name uncultured bacterium. Its description in RNAcentral is "contains 16S-23S intergenic spacer region". The record is from RNAcentral.
UCCGGUUUGUCGCCGGCAGUCUCGUAUGAGUCCCCAACUAAAUGCUGGCAACAUACGACGAGAGUUGCGCUCGUUGCGGGACUUAACCCAACAUCUCACGACACGAGCUGACGACAACCAUGCACCACCUGUACACCGACCUUGCGGGGAGCACAUCUCUGCACUUUUCCGGUGUAUGUCAAGCCUUGGUAAGGUUCUUCGCGUUGCAUCGAAUUAAUCCGCAUGCUCCGCCGCUUGUGCGGGCCCCCGUCAAUUCAUUUGAGUUUUAAUCUUGCGACCGUACUCCCCAGGCGGUCAACUUAUCGCGUUAGCUGCGCCACCAAGCACACUAAGGUGCCCAACGGCUAGUUGACAUCGUUUACGGCGUGGACUAC